GACGAACGCUGGCGGCGUGCCUAAUACAUGCAAGUAGAACGCUGAAGGAGGAGCUUGCUUCUCUGGAUGAGUUGCGAACGGGUGAGUAACGCGUAGGUAACCUGCCUGGUAGCGGGGGAUAACUAUUGGAAACGAUAGCUAAUACCGCAUAAGAGUAGAUGUUGCAUGACAUUUGCUUAAAAGGUGCAAUUGCAUCACUACCAGAUGGACCUGCGUUGUAUUAGCUAGUUGGUGAGGUAACGGCUCACCAAGGCAACGAUACAUAGCCGACCUGAGAGGGUGAUCGGCCACACUGGGACUGAGACACGGCCCAGACUCCUACGGGAGGCAGCAGUAGGGAAUCUUCGGCAAUGGACGGAAGUCUGACCGAGCAACGCCGCGUGAGUGAAGAAGGUUUUCGGAUCGUAAAGCUCUGUUGUAAGAGAAGAACGAGUGUGAGAGUGGAA
This 446-nucleotide ribosomal RNA is filed under the name Streptococcus mitis. RNAcentral's name for it is "bacterial SSU rRNA". It matches the Rfam family "Bacterial small subunit ribosomal RNA", at positions 28 to 466 of the family's 1533-position model. Lineage: Bacteria; Bacillati; Bacillota; Bacilli; Lactobacillales; Streptococcaceae. The record is from RNAcentral.